This 253-nucleotide ribosomal RNA is filed under the name uncultured bacterium. RNAcentral's name for it is "partial 16S ribosomal RNA". It matches the Rfam family "Bacterial small subunit ribosomal RNA", at positions 524 to 776 of the family's 1533-position model. The record is from RNAcentral.
UACGUAGGGUGCGAGCGUUAAUCGGAAUUACUGGGCGUAAAGAGUGCGUAGGCGGUUCGUUAUGUCUGCUGUGAAAGCCCUGGGCUUAACCCGGGAACUGCAGUGGAAACUGGCGAGCUUGAGUAUGGCAGAGGGGGGUGGAAUUCCGCGUGUAGCAGUGAAAUGCGUAGAGAUGCGGAGGAACACCGAUGGCGAAGGCAGCCCCCUGGGCUACUACUGACGCUGAGGCACGAAAGCGUGGGGAGCAAACAGG